GUGUCAGCAGCCGCGGUAAUACGUAGGGUGCGAGCGUUAUCCGGAAUUAUUGGGCGUAAAGAGCUCGUAGGUGGCUUGGCAAGUCGGAUGUGAAACCUCCAGGCUUAACCUGGAGUCGCCAUUCGAUACUGCUAUGGCUAGAGUUUGGUAGGGGACCACGGAAUUCCUGGUGUAGCGGUGAAAUGCGCAGAUAUCAGGAGGAACACCAGCGGCGAAGGCGGUGGUCUGGGCCAAUACUGACGCUGAGGAGCGAAAGCGUGGGGAGCGAACAGGAUUAGAAACCCCGGUAGUCC
RNAcentral lists this ribosomal RNA (293 nucleotides) under uncultured Acidimicrobiales bacterium. Its description in RNAcentral is "partial 16S ribosomal RNA". It matches the Rfam family "Bacterial small subunit ribosomal RNA", at positions 505 to 796 of the family's 1533-position model. The record is from RNAcentral. Lineage: Bacteria; Bacillati; Actinomycetota; Acidimicrobiia; Acidimicrobiales.